GCGCAGCAGGCGAGAAUAGUCUACAAUGGACGAAUGUCUGAUAGUGCGACGCCGUGUGUGCGAUUAAUUCCUUCGGGAUGUAAAGCACUUUUCUAUGAGAUAAAAGCUCUUUAGGUUAAUAGCUUAUUGAGACGGAUAUUAUUAUAGGAAUAAGCUCCGGCUAACUCCGUGCCAGCAGCCGCGGUAAUACGGAAGGAGCGAGCGUUUGUCCGGAUUUUACUAGGCGUAAAGGGCUAGUAGGCGACUAAUUAAGUUAUAUGUUAAAUCCCACGGCUCAACUGUGGUCCUGCAUGUAAUACUGGUUAGAUAGAGUACUGUAGAGGAAGGCAGAAUUCCUGGAGUAGCGGUGGAAUGCGCAGAUAUCAGGAAGAAUACCAAAAGCGAAGGCAGCCUUCUGGGCAGUUACUGACGCUGAAUAGCG
RNAcentral lists this ribosomal RNA (421 nucleotides) under uncultured microorganism. RNAcentral's name for it is "bacterial SSU rRNA". It matches the Rfam family "Bacterial small subunit ribosomal RNA", at positions 346 to 755 of the family's 1533-position model. The record is from RNAcentral.